CUGGAUUCCCCAAUUGUCCAUUGCUUCUUUUUUAUCGGCCUCUGUUCUUAUUCCCUUUUUCUUCUUCAAUUUUGUAUUGCAUAUUUGUUCUCUCUCUUCGUUUGGGCUCGCCUUCUUCCGAUCAUUUGCUGUUCAACUUUUUCCGGCAAGCAUAUGUUUUAUUCCCAUGUUCCUAUUGGAUUUACCACUGAGGCAUUUGCAUUUACUUCUUGGUAAGAAAAUGCAAUUUCAAAGACGAGAUGAAGCUCAAAGGAGCAGAAGAGGCUUCAUAUAGGAAAAUAAAAUGCCAGAGAAAUUGGUAUGUCUUUGUAUUGCAGGUGGACUACUCAAAUGCCAUCAGUCACACGUAGGAUCAUGAUUUUAUGUAUCCUUCAGUAUUCACAAGAAGGUAAGCAAAAAUAUUGAUGCUUUAACUGAUGUAUCUCUGUAUUAUGAGGAGAUCGAUACAUCUCUGCACCUAUUUAUAUUCUAAAUUCGGUAAGAGUUAUAGAAUCUAACCUCAAUUUCUGUUUCAGGUUAAUUAAACAAGUACCACAGUCGGGAUGCUUUAAGGAAUAAACAAGGAAAUAGACGAGGUCAUUCUAUAAGGUAAUAUAUUAUAUAGUUAAGGUAAUAUAUUAUAUAGUUUUUCAGAUUUUUGAAAUACAACUCACAAACAAGGAUGUUCUCAAGAUAAAUAAAGAAGAAUACAAACACAAGCUGAAUACUAUUCAUUUUAAUUGGCAUAGUGUUUCCUUUUGAACUAAAUUACAUAUCGACAGUUUUAGAUCAUAUAAUUUGAAAGAAAUAACAGUUAAACCACAUAUCAGCACACAUAGUAAAUAGAAACCUACGGUAGAAAUCAAAUUUAAUAUGCAAAGCCAGUUUGUCUACCAUGAGUAUGACCCAUACUUGUGGAAACUAAAAUUCCUCCUAAAUUGCUUACUGUAUUUUUGGACCCAAAGAACUAACUUAAAACCUUUUACGGCAAAUACUUUUAUUAAGGACAACAAGUAUUUUGAUACCAGUUGUUAUGAGACAAUCAAGAAUUCGAGCAAUAAUAACGAAAAAAGAACAAGAAAAAAUAUAGUUUUAACAUGGAAAUCCUUAAGGAAGAAAACUACAAGGCAGUGUGUUCUUUUGAUUGGUUGUCGGUCUUCUAUGUUGCUUUGGUUGCUGAUCAACCCGGUGUGCUGGGAUAAUUGGUAAGCUCUCUUCGGUAAGCUCGCUUCUCUCAUUUAAUUUCUUGACUAUUGAUUUCUUCAAUCAGUAGGUGUCUGCAUGUACGUUUUGUUUCUGUUUUUUCCUCUUUAUUCACUUUACCCUUCUCCACAAUAGUCCCACUUCUUUUUGUUUUUUCUCAAGUGUUGAGGCAGGGAAAGGGGGUGGGUGAGUAUUUUUCUUAUGAUAUAUUGAACGGAAAAGGUCCAAAAAUACCCUUCACCUGUUGAAAAAGGCUCAUAAAUACCCUCCUUCCACCUUUUGGUCUAAAAAUACCCUUCCAUCCACCUUUUAGGUCUAAAAAUACCCUUAAGGUUUGUUUUUGGCUCAAAUAUACCCUUUAAACUAACAGAAUAUGUUUUUUUGAUUUUUUUAUCGGAAAAGGUCCAAAAAUACCCUUAACCUAUUGAAAAAGGCUCAUAAAUACCCUCCUUCCACCUUUUGGUCUAAAA
This is a long non-coding RNA of Lycium barbarum (goji berry), 1652 nucleotides long. RefSeq lists it as uncharacterized. Lineage: Eukaryota; Viridiplantae; Streptophyta; Magnoliopsida; Solanales; Solanaceae. The transcript is spliced from 3 exons. The record is from RefSeq and is a predicted model, not a curated record.